RNAcentral lists this small nuclear RNA (218 nucleotides) under Coturnix japonica (Japanese quail). Its description in RNAcentral is "7SK RNA (ENSCJPG00005005116.1)". The stretch from base 1 to 188 matches the Rfam family "7SK RNA". From Rfam's summary of the family: 7SK was discovered as an abundant small nuclear RNA in the mid-70s but a possible function has only recently been suggested. Two independent studies have found that 7SK RNA binds the CDK9/cyclin T complex (known as elongation factor P-TEFb). P-TEFb activates transcription by phosphorylating the C-terminal domain of RNA polymerase II. Lineage: Eukaryota; Metazoa; Chordata; Aves; Galliformes; Phasianidae. The record is from RNAcentral.
GGAUGUACGGGCGAUCUGGCUGCGACAUCUGUCACCCCAUUGAUCGCCAGGGUUGAUUUGGCUGAUCUGGCUGGCUAGGCGGGUGUCCCCUUCCUCCCUCACUGCUCCAUGUGCGUCCCUCCCGAAGCUGCGUGCUUGGUCGAAGAGGACGACCUUCCCCGAUAGAUACGGUACUGUUCAUCAUUUUUUAAAAUUAUUUUAUUUUAAUGGAAUGGAUU